GCGGAGGGAUCAUUACAGAGUUAUACAACUCCCAUACCAUCUGUUAACCUACCCAGUUAUGCCUCGGCGUAAGCUCGGUUGGAGGCACCUGCAGCUACCCUGUAGUUGCGGACUGCCAACUCCAGCCGCGGCCCGCCGGCGGUACACUAAACUCUGUUUUAUUUUAUAUUCUGAGCGUCUUAUUUUAAUAAGUUAAAACUUUCAACAACGGAUCUCUUGGUUCUGGCAUCGAUGAAGAACGCAGCGAAAUGCGAUAAGUAAUGUGAAUUGCAGAAUUCAGUGAAUCAUCGAAUCUUUGAACGCACAUUGCGCCCAUCAGUAUUCUGGUGGGCAUGCCUGUUCGAGCGUCAUUUCAACCCUUAAGCCUAGCUUAGUGUUGGGAAUCUGCUGUACUGCAGUUCCUUAAAGACAGUGGCGGAGCGGCGGUAGUCCUCUGAGCGUAGUAAUUUAUUUCUCGCUUUUGUCAGGCUCUGUCCUCCCGCCAUAAAACCCCCAAUUUUUUAGUGGUUGACCUCGGAUCAGGUAGGAAUACCCGCUGAACUUAAGCAUAUCAAUA
Molecule: ribosomal RNA, 556 nt
Filed under: Arthrinium sp. E07
Lineage: Eukaryota; Fungi; Ascomycota; Sordariomycetes; Amphisphaeriales; Apiosporaceae
Description: eukaryotic LSU rRNA
Rfam family: 5.8S ribosomal RNA (bases 197-350)
Source: RNAcentral